Molecule: long non-coding RNA, 953 nt
Organism: Onychostoma macrolepis
Lineage: Eukaryota; Metazoa; Chordata; Actinopteri; Cypriniformes; Cyprinidae
Exons: 3
Source: RefSeq, a predicted model, not a curated record
UUCACUUAACUGAAAUGGAAAUGAAAAAAUGAAAGCCGUUAAAAUAUUAAACAAGUAAAGAUUCACUCAGUUGUUUUAUACAGUCAAAAGGGUUUCAGAAAAAUAGGUGAUUUGAAGCUCAUUUCCAAAAGUAUGUGAAUAAACCCUUUUAAGGUUUUUGGCUAUUUCAGUAAUUCAUGCAUGAUGACACUGAUGCUGAGUCAGGUGUGGAUGAAUGUGACCGGCCUGUAUAAAAAUAUUAGGGCUUGUUAUAAUUGAAAUUGUGUAAGUGUGGUGCUCAGGCAUUCACAUGUUUUUGGACAUAGUAUAUUUUUUCUAUGGUGCUAGCCUGAUGUAAAACAUAUGAAAGGUUUGGCACACUAAAAAAAAGACGGUUCUUUAAAGGUUCUUUACAUGCAGUAAUGGUUUUAUUUAGAACCAUAGCAUUCUGAAGAACCCUUUCAUGCUGAAAUGGUUCUUUGUGUCAGAGUUUAGGCUUCUUUGUUCCCGCCCUUUUGCUUUUCAAAUCUGUAACUGUCAAAGCACCUCAUUACUGAUUUUCAGUGAUACAACUACACAGACUGUCAAUACACUCUCAACAGUGUUUGCAGUUCAGUUAAGCUGUGGAAACUUUUCUCUUCUUCUCCACUAAAUGUAUCACAUCCUACAGCCUCAUCAUCUGCAGAGAAAAAUCGCCAAUUAAUCACACCAAAAUGAUGGACUUAAAGGCAUCAUAUGGAUUGUAUUGUGAUUGUUUCACUGAAACUUGAUCUUCAUCACAUCUAUUUUUUUGUUCUUAUGUUGUUUUACUUCUUUAUGCAUUUAUUCAUGUUCAAUGUCAAUUGUCAUUCAUUAAUGUAUUCAACUAAUAACUGUUGUUAAGAGCACUGACAAUUUUUCACGUCAAUAAAAACAUAAUUCACACAACAUGCUGCUGUCGUUGUUUUACUGUAAAACCUUAAACGAGGCUACAC